Pantherophis guttatus is the source of this 1040-nucleotide long non-coding RNA. RefSeq lists it as uncharacterized. NCBI's taxonomy places the organism in Eukaryota, Metazoa, Chordata, Lepidosauria, Squamata, Colubridae. The record is from RefSeq and is a predicted model, not a curated record.
CCACUACAGUAGAAUCUCCAGCUUGGCAAAUACCUAGAAGAAACCCUGAAUAAACUGCACUUAACCCUAAUUCUCUGGAGAAGGAAGAAUCUAAUAUAGCAGGCCAACAUGUCUAACUUGGAUCAAGAGAAGGAAAUGGGAAUUACACCAGUUUGGCUCCUGCUGAAGUUAGCAAAUAUACAGUUUAUUCAUCACAAAUAUUAGCUUCACUGAAAUUCAGAUAGUUCAAAAUACUGUUGCAGUCAAGGUUUUGGACAUCUUUGCUAAAUAUAAAAUUAAAAUGCUGCAUCUAAGAAGGAGAACUUAACUGGAAACCACUGCCUGGCUGAACUGCUGUUACAGUUUCUUCUUGGGACUGCUUCAGAAGCCAACCUCUUGGUAAUUAGAUCUUCUACCUUCUUUGCCUCUAAAGAUUACAAAAAAAAAACUUUCUUGGAUGCUAGUAAAGAGAUUAUUUUACAGUCAAUGAUGGAACAGUCACUGCAGUUUCAACCUCUACUGAACAGAGAGGUUCAGUAGAGAGAACAUGUUUGUAAGCUGCCUUCUUCCUUCUGAAGGAAAGAACUUGAAACAUCCAUUGGUUUAGCAUUAUGAAAACAUCAGCUGGCUCCUAUCAGUUUCUGUUAUUUUCUAUUGGAGAACUGAUGAAAGUCCUGACCAACUUCCAGAUUUUUUUUAAAUACACCUGGUUUUAAGGAAGAACAACAAAAAAGUAAAUCUAUCUGAAAUAUCUCUGAGACUCAGUAUAUUUUGUCAUCACUACCCCGCUGAGUUUGAUAUGUGGAUAAACCUAAGCAUGUAUAUAAGUAUGAGAACAUCCAUGAACUUCUGCCAAAAGUGAAUGUAAAUGUUUCUGAAAAUGAGAAACAUCUUAAUAAGCACCAGAGGAAGUCCCCCACAUCUCUCAACAUUUCAGUAAUGUCAAGAAAGGAUAUAAGUAUGAUCAUCAGAACACUGGCCGAUUGGUUAUAUAACAUACUAUAUAUCCAUAUAUGUACCAUGUGUAAAAUGUCAAUUUAUUAAAGUAAUGUCAUCUCAUA